AUGCUCCCUUCAGGAGUACAUAUUCCAAAAUUGGAAUGAUACAGAGAAGAUUAGCAUGGCCGCUAUCAAGGAUGACAUGCAAAUUCAUGAAUCACUCCAUAUUUGU
Otolemur garnettii (small-eared galago) is the source of this 106-nucleotide small nuclear RNA. Lineage: Eukaryota; Metazoa; Chordata; Mammalia; Primates; Galagidae. The record is from Ensembl.